AUUGAACGCUGGCGGCAGGCCUAACACAUGCAAGUCGAGCGGAUGACGGGAGCUUGCUCCUUGAUUCAGCGGCGGACGGGUGAGUAAUGCCUAGGAAUCUGCCUGGUAGUGGGGGACAACGUUUCGAAAGGAACGCUAAUACCGCAUACGUCCUACGGGAGAAAGCAGGGGACCUUCGGGCCUUGCGCUAUCAGAUGAGCCUAGGUCGGAUUAGCUUGUUGGUGAGGUAAUGGCUCACCAAGGCGACGAUCCGUAACUGGUCUGAGAGGAUGAUCAGUAACACUGGAACUGAGACACGGUCCAGACUCCUACGGGAGGCAGCAGUGGGGAAUAUUGGACAAUGGGCGAAAGCCUGAUCCAGCCAUGCCGCGUGUGUGAAGAAGGUCUUCGGAUUGUAAAGCCCUUUAAGUUGGGAGGAAGGGUUGUAGAUUGAUACUCUGCAAUUUUGACGUUACCGACAGAAUAAGCACCGGCUAACUCUGUGCCAGCCGCCGCGGUAA
RNAcentral lists this ribosomal RNA (500 nucleotides) under uncultured bacterium. RNAcentral's name for it is "partial 16S ribosomal RNA". It matches the Rfam family "Bacterial small subunit ribosomal RNA", at positions 30 to 523 of the family's 1533-position model. The record is from RNAcentral.